GAGAUUCUUCGAUAUUCGUCGAUCAAAACAAUGGCAAAGUUUGCGUCGAACCGAGUCGAUUCGUUUAGUCUUUCGUCGACCACCGCCGUGUUUACGUCGUAUUUCGAUGUUCUAAUCGUGAAAUAAAAUUAAUUCGCAUCCAAUUUGCGAUCAGAAAAUGAUUCUUACUAACAAUUACCGACAUUGAUUAAUUGUUUUAAGUAAUAAUUAAUUCGAUUCUUGUGCGCGGGAGUAUAAUUAUGAGAAUUGAGAAGGAUAAUUGACGCGACUUCCAUUCGUUUCUUUUCGUUCGAACUCUCGUUAUCGUUACAUUGAUCUAAUCGAAGAGGACAUUAUUUUAAGAGUUUUUUGUGUUAACGAGCAUCGUGUAGAUGUUUUAUUAUAUUACUAAUAAUGAUUAAUUAAUAGUAAUUAAUUGAGGAACACGUGGUAAAAGAGUGAUAGUGAUAGAGUGAUAGUGAGGUUAACAAUGGCGUCGGGAUUGAAGGUUGAAGAGGUCGCUUAGGUGCUGAGACUAUGGAUAAAGUAGCAGAAUUAUGACUGCACUAGAAUAAACUUAAACAGUUUAUUUAAAUGCAACAAUCAAUCACGAUAAUUUACACGGACAUUACAUCGCAUUAAAAAUCGCAAUUGUAGCCGUUUAAAAUUCAAUGCCUGGAAUGUCAACCAAAAAAUCAGUCAAAGGAUGGAAAAAGAAAGAAAGAAAAAAGAAACGAAAAACAAUGAAAUUCGAAAGUCAUGGAGACACGAAUUACGGUAUUGAAAUAAUGACGAGGCAAAGGGAUACGGGCGAUCCGAUCGACAAUGAAGGCAUCUUUCCUAACGAAGCGAUCGAGGAUCCCAUAAAUCCUCGGAUUAUUAAUACCUGGCAGUCUCGGUGCGUGAAUCCGGCAGGUGGUUGGCUGGCCUCUAAUCGUGAUCCGGGAAUAAUUUACACUCGUACACCGCUCGGAAGCCAUCGGAAUCUUUAACGACUAUUGGCCCGGUUUCGCGCCGUUUCCUUCGAGAUGAGAGAGAGGAACUUUAUAGAGUGGAGAAAGGAUGAUGAGGGUAGUCGAAGAGUGACGAUGGACGACGAGAUGAGAUAAAGAAUUAUAGAAGAUGUUAGAGAUUUGCAUUUUAUUGGCUCGAUGUUUUAAUUUUGAAUGAGAUAUUUGGUGGAUUAUAUACAGUUUUUCUUUUUUCUUUUCUUUUAUAGAAAGUUGAUAGUUUUUUAACGGAGGAUGGUUGAAGAUUGAAGAUAAGUGAAUUAAGAUGAAGGAUCACAGGUUAAACGAGAUUAAAUGAGAUUUUUACUGAAAUAUAUUGUUGUUAAAAUUAAAAAAUUGUUGUGAUAAGAGUAGUUGAAGAUGGAUAAUUAAUAGAUUUAAAAUAAAUUUAUUUACAAUAUUGAUAUUUAUUUCCUAUAUUGUUCAUUACGUGUUUUGAAAAAAACUAAUCAUAUGUGCGUAUUAUACAUAUAUUUCAGUAUUAUAAGAUUUAUCGGAAUGUUUCUUUUGAUCCUUCCAUAUUAAAAGAUUCACUUUUAGAUGUCAAUAAAUUAAAAUCAUUCAAAAUUUUCAAAAUUCUUCCAAUCAAAGCUAAUCCCUUUCCGAUCAAAAUAAGAAUAAAAAAAAUAAAAAAAAAGCCAAGGAACAUCUCAAUUAAUCUCGAUUCUCCACCAAGAUAUCCGCUGUCUAAUCGCUUGGACUCCACCGGUCGAACACCGGCGAUUCCAGCCAGAUUAACGAGCCUGAUUAGUCACAAUCAACAACCACUUCCGCCUUUACAAUCCGUCACAAAACACCGCCGAUCUCCAACCGAUCAACCACCAUCCAGCCCAUGUUUAACCAUCGUUCUCCUCCACGAGGGGACCGUGAUAAUCUCCACUCCUCUCCCUCUCCCCCUCCUACUUCCUCGACGAUUCAGUUAUAAUUCAAUCUUCACGACAGUCUAAUCCUCCGUUCCAGUCUAAUCCUCGAUUCGAGAUCGCGAUCGAUGCGAAAAAGCGCAAGGGAACGGAUGGAAAGGUCACGGAGGCAAAACCGAAUCCGACCAAUGGUGGAUCUAGAAUGGUAUCCAUCGUGGCGUGGUAUCCGCAAGCGGGGGAGCACGGAUGGAAGGUUCGCGGACAAGGUGUAAGUCGAUCGAGUUCGAUCCAAUAGAUCAGGCGGCAGAUUCGUUGCCGGUUAUUACAAGGGGUCGGAGGUCGAUCGCUCGCAUAAACCAUUUAGCCUUCGAUCGACUAUCGAUACCGAUAUUUCCCAGAGGUAUCGGCUAUCUCGGCUGCUCGAUCUUCGACCGACAAGGCCCAGGAUUUAUCCUCCCCCUCCAACUCGUUCCUCUCUCUUUCUCGCUCGAUCUACGAAACAGGAUUAAAUGUUUGGGUCUGGCCUUCUUUUUCUUUUUCUUUUUCUUCUUUGCUUUCGUGCUUUUGUUUAUCACGUUAUUUCGUCAACGUGAUUCGGAUAUUUUCCUCGUGGCACGUUGGCCUCGUGGUAAUUAAUUGAAUAGAAAUAAUAGAAUUUUUGUUAAAGGGUUGUUAUUGGAGAUUUGGCUUUUUAGACUUUCUCGGUUUUUAUUUGAAUUAAUAUAUAUAAGAUUACGAAUGUAAUUUGGAUAUUUUGGAUAAAAUGGUGGAAGUUUGAUUUGUUAGAGUUUGUUAGAGAGAGUUGUUUUUUUAAAAGGAAUUUGUUAAACAUUCGAAGAAUUUUGUAUUGAAUCUCUGUAUGAAUAUUUAAUAUCGGAAAGUUAUAUUUUUAACUACAUUUCGAUAUUCUGUAUCACUAUACAUAUAUUAAAAUUUAGAUUUAUUAUUUUUUUUCUAUUGAGAAAAUUUUGACUAUCCUAAAGAAAUGAAAAUUCUUCGUUAUACAUUCAAAGAUCGUUCGUAGCCGAGAACUACCACUUUAAUUCUUAACGAAAUUAAAAAAAAAGAAAAUCAUACCGCUUAUCCUCCAACAUGGAAGAAACAAUUACACACCGACCAACGAUAAAAUCUUGAGAAACCUCAACGCAAUUGCGGAACAACACACAGAGGAACGAUAUCAUCACGUACGUACACGCGAGUAUACACGCGAUCGAGAAUCGAUUUGGCAGAAAAGUGAAUUCAAACGAGCCGCCUGUGGGGUCUCCUUCGAUCUCUUCCGCUCCCUGGACGCGCAGCGCAAACGGAAAAAAACCAAUGCCGAAGGAGGAAAGGAGAGGAAUAUAAGAAAGAAUCGAUCGACUUCACCGUCCCUCUGGCACGGAUAUCUGGCAUCUUGGCCGAAAUUUUCCCUAAUAAAAUUUGUUCCCGCCAGUUAAGCACGUUGCCAAAAGCGCCUAUUAAUUUUUUUAUCUCGGAUCUUCGCCUCCACUCCUGGAAGGAGCCGAGAUUUCUUCGCUCUCUCGAUGCACGGUGACGCGGUGGUCGUAAAACGUCGCCGAACCCCAGCGUCGGCCUUCGUCGUCGACGAUCCAUAAUAUAUUAUUCACGCAACACUUAUUAUCAACAAUUUAAAAAACUUUCUAAUAAUUUACAAAUCUCAAGUUUCGAACUCAAGGAAAAAGUAAGGGAAAAGGAUUUUUAUUUAAAUGAUUAAAUCGAUUCGUCAUCUUCGUAGCAAAAAAAAAAUAUACGCUUCGAGAUGUACAUUUUAUUCUUCCACCGAUUUUUAAUCUCCACCGUGGCCAAAAUCACCACCAAUCUGUCGCGAUGAUAAAAUUCACGAUGAUCAAAUGGACACGUUUAAUUAAAAAUAAAACAGAUGCAAUAACGUUCCUUAUUGUCGAGCGAGCAUUAUUGCUGCGACAAAUCUUUGUGCGCGGUUAUACAGUAUAUAAACGGAAGAAAAAGAAGAAGAAGAAGAAGAAGCGUGCUCGUGAAACCGUGAAUUAAGCCGUUGUUCGCGCAGCGUUCAGAUAAGUUCUCGCUUCGACCCCUUCACCGUUCCACGAACCCUCGAUUCGACGUGGAUCUCGUGCGUAUAUACGCACGUACGUCUGGCUCUGGGCCAAUUUCACCCGACACCUGCUAAUUCUUAACUGUUUCGCUUUCGUGGAAUUGCUACCGGUCUGAGGAUCGCGCUAAUGGUCUCGAAUCUCGUCUCUAAAUGACGCGCUUCCGCUGAUCAUCGGCGCGGGGAGCAUCGCGGAUUGUUAAUGAUCCACGGCGGGGAAUAAAAUGAUUUUGGGGAAAUUUUCGUGGAAGGAGGGACGAGGGUGGAUUUAGGAAGGAUUUCUUGCUGGAUUGUUUCGUGGAAUAGAAGGAACGGGAAGGAAUUUGAGAAUAAUUAUUGGAUCGCGAUGAAAUAGAUAUAAUGAAUAAAUGUAUUUUCAAACAAGUAUUGUAAAUAAGUAGAAAAAAUGAAUGGAACGAAAUCAAAAGGAGGAUGGAUAGAGAGAUAUGAUGAAUAAUUUGCAAGAUAUUUGCGAAAAAUCGAGAGGAAAUAAAUUGCAUAAUUUUGGCCAAUAUUUGUGAAUUGUGAAUUCGAAGCAGCAGUAGUUUUCGAAAGUUUCGAAGAGAAUAAUAAAUUUGACGGAAAUAAUUAACGGGAAGGAUUUCACGGGAAAUUUAUUUACAUCGCAGCUCGAGUAAUAUUUAAUAUCGUGGAGUGGCAAAGCGGAUGCCGUAGAACCGGCCUGUGUCAAUGGAUGCCACCAAAUAUCUGGUUUACCCACACAGGUCAUCGACAUCGGCCGAUGAAUUAAUUUUUCUGCGAAAACCGAUACUUGUCUGCCGGUUCUUGUAACGAUCAACGAUACGGAUCUGUUGCUGAUAGUCACGCACAUCUCGUUUCGACAGAAGCUAAUUUAUUUUUCCACUCAAUUGACAAAAUUUAAGAAAGAUUUAAGAUGUUCGAUAAACAGGAAUGCAUUCGUUCCAUACUUUGCAAAUUUUCGUCCACGAGCGUAUAUACGCAUCUAAGAAAUUAAAAUUUGUGAUGAAAUUUUCUUUAAACAAUUUCGUAUUCUCCAUUCAAAAUUUCAAGUUCGAUUUAAUCGAUCGAUUUUUCCUUUUCUAUUACACAUCGUUACAUUAAAACGAAAAAAUAAAAGAAACUUGUAUACGUCAUACGCGUGGAUAAAAAAAUUGAAAAACAUUUGUGCCUGCGAAGCAAAAUGAUUAUCCGACAAGUGACUCGCCAAUAAAAUCAAACCGUGCAGUCACCCUUCGAACAUAUCGUAAUCGCAUCAGGUUAAAUACAACUCGCGAGUGGCACUCUCGUGAGAUAACAAAAUGGAUACUUCGCACACGUGGCCUCACACGUGAACGAAGAACGUUCAGAAGGGAUGCAAAGGGAACCAGCUCCUCGGCUCAGCCGAUUCUUUCUCCCUCGGUCAACGUUCUUAAACAAUCGGCUCUGUUCGCGGCAAUAUCGUCGAUAAGUAUCUCAAGACGGCUCUCUCGGAGCACUCCAUGAGCUACGAUCUACGUAGUGGUACGUGGCUGCUUUGAUGGCGGCCAGCCAGAAGUAAAUCUAAGGUUUACGAGGCAGUACCCGCCUCUUACUAGCACCUCCUCGAGCACUCCCCAAAGUUGCGAUGGGGAGGGGGGGUGGUAUCGGAGCUCUCGAAAAAGGAACGAGGAGAGAAAAGAAGGAAAGAAAGGUCGAGCUCUCGAAGCUCGUUGCAUUAUGGGCCAGCGCUCAUAAUUCUCAUCAAUAAAUCGCCUCGAACGACUGACGCCCCGCUCCAUAUAUACAAAAGGAAUCACCGACCUUAGGGGAGGAGGAGUGGAGAGGCGGUGUUCCGUAUCUGGCAACAAUAGAUCCGCCGGUGAUCUCGAAACAAUUCGUUGUUGAGAAACGUUUGUUGCAAUAACUCGCCUUCUUUUGGUCGUCUUUGAACCGAGGUUCAUUAAUUUCUCCGAUUAUACCACCAGGGCACCCUCGUCCUAGGCUCGUCGAAAAUCUCUGAAUUUGCUUUUCUCUCCAACGAUUGUUGCCUCGAUAGUGAAUCGCGCCGGUGCGUUUAGACAGGAGGCCAUUGUUCACGCCUUCGAUCUUGGUAAAGUGAAAUUGGAAAUAACGUUCACAGUUGCAUGGAUAUCUCGGUGGAUCUAUCUCGUGGAUUCUUAUUUUAUUUUUAGAUUCUUUUUUUUUUUCGUGAAAAUGGAGCGGAAAUUUUUUUUCAGUUUUUAUUUACGUUGAAGAAAGGAUUUAGCGAUAUCGUUGAUUUUUGCAAAGAAUUUUCAAUUAACACGUCUGUUAGUUUCAUGGUAGAAAGAAUUAUUCCAGAGUUGAAGCAAUUUUUUUUUUUUUACAAAUAUAAUGGAAUGAGUAUUUUUAUAUUUUAUGCUCAGUUUAAUCUCAUCGAUUAAUUGUUUAACAGUUAAAGGAUAAGGUAGUCUGAUUUUCUAAAAUUUUUAAACAUUUUUGGAUAAUUGAAAGUUAAGAUUCAGUUACCAAGUUCAUCAUCAAAUUUUCAUCGUAAAGACACUAUACGAUAGCAAAUUAUUUUUGAACAAAAUUUACUUCGCGUGCAAUUUUCUUUUUUUUUUCUAAAAAAAAUUUCACCACGUUUAAUUUAGAUUCUUAUCGUUUAAAACACAAUUCCUGAAAUCUGCUUCCAUUUCGCGUACUUUCACGAAAUUUUUCUAAAAAAUUACACCAUACCUAAUUCAGAUCCUUGUCGCUUAAAGUAUCGCUUACAAUUUCUAUUCCGAAGAAAAAAAUUAAAACCCACGACCUUCCUUAUAAUUACAAUUCCAGGCAACGUUCUUUUAUUCUUGAAAGAAUAAAAAUUACGUCCUCUAACCAAUAAUCAGAAUUCCAAAAAUCUUUCGAAUUCACCUCCCGAAAAAUUCCUCUCGAAAUUUAAUUUCAAUUCGCCCACCCUCCUCUCCCCGCGCAUCGUGAUAAAUUGUUCGCGUUAAAAGGGGAGGAUCUGGAUGUAGGUCGCGGUAUCCCUUCGCCAAAUUAUAGCCCGAUAUAUUUCUGCUCGAUACACAUUGUAACACCCUUUCUACUAUACGCCGAUCUCCUUAACCCAAACCGCUCCCAUAAACCGCGAACUCGAGGACCCGAUGGCGCGUAUAGGCGCGCGUGGUCAUAGGGGCCGAUAAUAUAGUUAUUACCGAGUCAGAGCCCCCUCUCCGCCUCCCCUCACCCCUCCCUCCAGCCACAAGAAAGCGACGAACCCCGCAUUAAAAACCAAUUUUUGGCCACGAAAAAAGCUGCGCCGUUGCUCGUAUAAUAACAGGCCUGGUAAUCUAUAGUAGGUUUUCUGUCCGGGCCCGAGGUUCAUCCAUCCAUUUCUCCAGCGAGGAGGAACAACCCUCUCCCUCCUCCUCCCUUGCGGGUUCCUCCAUCCUCUUAUCCUUGUCCGUUUUAGAGGGAGGAUAAUCGAACAAAUUGGAGAGCCUCCAGCCUCCGCUCCACGGACGACUUUUUUUCAAUUAAAAAAGGGAGGGGUGAGAGGGUUAACUCUCUCGGUGCGUCCGACAGCUGUCGGAUUUUGUAACGUAACUUUGCUCCCUCCUGAGAAAUUCCCGCCUCGUUUCGGGAAUUUUUCUGAGAGUUGGAGAGAAUUCGAAAGGGGGAGAGGGGGUCCUCUUUUCUGGCUUCUUCUGGCUUCCGUUAAGGGAAGGGGAUUUUUCGAGAUAGUGUUUAGAUAGGGUUAGGUUUUCUCGUUAUCGAUCUUGUUCGGAAUGAGGGUGUAAUAAGGGAUGAUAAGUCAAUUUCGUUUGAUGUAUUAAUAUAUCGGGUGUAUCCGGUUUCGCGGGCAUCUGGCUCUAAAUUGUUAUGGUGAAUUUUUUUCCUCGGGAAGAUUGACUUGCUGAUUUAAUGAUAAUAUCUUAUUUAUUCUGGGGAAUAAUUUUCGACGAGUUUUGUUCGCGGAUGAUGCGAUGGGAUGUUCACUUUAACGUUCAUUCUUCGUAAAUUUAAUACGUGUUUUGAUAUAUUUUUUUAUACGGCAUUCGGGCGAUCGUUUAAAAUUAGAGUAAUAUGAUCAAUCCCCAUUGAAAUUUUGUCAAGGGAAAAUUUCAUGAUUCGAUUUCCAUUAUUUGAAAAUCGAGAAGGACGCGUUUCGUUCAUUUCUUACACAAACGGAACGGAAACAUCUACGAUCUAUGUUUGAUGAAUUCACAGCCGCAAUUCACAACUGUUAAAUCAAAAACCAGUUGGAACCGCCGAAGGGGAGACAGGUUUAAUAGAAUUCGGCCAAUUAUCUCGCACAAAUCACAGGUAUCCCGUUAGCUGUUUCCUAUUAGGUGUUCUAUUAUUAUAAGUAUUUCAAACUCUUUCUCUCUCUCUCUCUCUCUCUCUCUCUCUCUCUCUCUCUCUCUUAGAACAUCUUUUUCAAAAAUGAGAAUUUUACAUUCUUUUAAAUUGAAAUAAGUUGAAUUAUUGGAUUAAAAUAAGUUCUAAUUAUAAGUGAAAUGCAACCAAGUUGAUCAGACAACGAGCAUUUGUUAUCCUAGUACCUUUCAAUCUGUCAAAUUACAAAAUCCAGCCAAGUUAUUUAUGAAGAAAUUACACGUGAAGAAUAAGCCAUUAUGUCGGUUUAAUCGUAUCACAUUUGUAACCAUCAAAGUUGAUUUUCAAUCUGUUAUUUCUCCAUUGUUGUAAUUCUAGCUAUUAAUUCUAAAAUUUCGAUUCCGAUGCAAGCGUAGAUUUAAUCCAUAACUUUAAUAAAAUUAAAAUUAAAUCGUUUCUAAAAAUCUAAUCUCGACAAAUUUUCGAAAGAUUAAUUUCUCCCGAAACGAUAAUAAAACGAAACUGAAUGAGAUCCGUCAUAUGAAAAUCAAUGUCGACAUUCUACCGCAGGUAUUAUCGAUAAAAUUAUCAAAAAAUUUGGCCGUAUAAUUAUAAAACUAUGAAAAAAUAAAUAAUUAAAAAUUCUUUUCGAUUGGACACAAUUCAACAUUAACCCGACCAACGAGAGAUAAGAAAAUACGUAUCGACGAUGAUCGAAGAGAUCGAUCGAUCGUUACGGAAGGAGUGGCCAAAGAUAGAAAUAAAAAAACAAAAAAAGACCUCGCGUAGAAGAUGGCCAUUGCGUAAUUCGUUGUGCCGGAGUAGAGGACGCGGUCGAUCGGCCGCCAGUAAAUUUCUAUUAACGGCUCGGCGUUCGAAACAAUUGGCCAUUAAAUCGAACGGUCCCGCGGCAGAUAAUAACUGGCAAUAAUCGGGCCGUGGCCACCGGUUCAGCUUGUGGGACGCUGGUGGGACCCCUUUUCGGCCCCCAUGGCUCGCCAUCGCGAAACAAGCCGAGCAUCGGUAAUGAGAGGCCAAUUAGAACACCCCGUCGAUGGAAUUAUCCCCAGACGCUUCGAAAUUCAAACUGGUUGCCGUGAACGUUUCCUCCUAAUGCCCCCGAGACACGCGAAAAGGGGAGUUAGAAGAGAGAGAGAAAGAGAGAGAGGGUUGAAUGGGUUAGAGAGAUGAUCCUUUUCUCGAGUCUUUUCUUCGAUCCUGAAGAUCGUUUCGACGAUAUUCCCGGAUGGAAAGAAAAUUGUGGUUGUUCGUUCAAUCGUGGUUGUAAGUAAGGAUUUAAAAGCGUAAGGAAUGAAUAAUUCAUGGAAUAGUUAUAGUAUUUAUUAUAAUAUUUUGAUGGUUUGAUUAAUUGUCUUAAUUUAUUCCAGUUGUGAGCGAUAUUUAGAAUUUUGGAAAUGAAUGAAUAUUUUUUCUCUCCGAGUGACUUUUAUUGAUAAAAUUUUGUUCGAAAUGGAUGGAAAAUUGGAGAGGUAUGUUUCUGAUAUAAAUUCCGUAGGAAUUUAAAAGGAAUAAAUCUUAUGAAGCAUAUAUAUAAACGUUCAACAUGCAAAAAUUAUUAUAAAAAUAAUUUAUCACACAUUUAGUGAUUUUCCCUAAAACGAAAUCGUUUCAAUCUUCCCAUUGCAACCCUACAAUAUUAAACAUCACAUAUUUACGAUAUUUUUCAAAAUAUUAAUACAUUUACCCUUUUCAAGCUUCCCCUAAUACUUUCUUCUCGUUGUAAUUACAUGUUUUCCCAUCAUCUUUAAUUCCGCACAAUAUUUCCACCGUCCAAAAAUAAGAUAAUUUCCAUUCGUAGAACAGAAGCGAACAAUUAGUAAGCUUCUGGUUAUGGAAAAUUCCCACUCGAUCGAUAAAGUCUCGAGGAAACAUACAUGUCGAUACACUUCUGUCAAUCGAUAGAAGAGUAUCGAGAUCGAUAUUGUCCAAAGAUAUCUGCACUCACGCGCAGAGACAGAGAUCGGUAGCGAGAAGAAGGAGAUAUCGAAGGCCGUGUCGGUGAAGGAAAAAGAGAGGCCGGUUAACUGCGGUUCGCUCAAUUUACAGCCGUGUAUAAUUAACCGGGGCAUGAAAAACGGCCAGCCACGUGCUAUCUCGCGCGUUGGGAUACCGGAGAUUUAUAGUUAUUAAUUUUAUAAUAGACUCAUCAAGCGGCGUUCGCGUGACGUUGUCGCCAUCGCUCUUGAUAUCGCGGGAAACACGUUCAAUGAAAAUGCGACGUGCCUCGAAUCCUCUUCGAUCUUCCCCUUUUUUGUAUUUUUUUAUCCUCUCGCAGCGGAGGAUAUUUGCUUUAUUAAUUUAUCGUUUUAUUUCUUUGCGAUUUCGUGAAAAUCUAAUUAAUUAAAUUAAAAAUAAAAAAAUGGAUAUAUGGAAAUAGUAAGAUUGACGAAUCGUGCGACUAAAAGGAUUUUUAUCACUGCAGAAUUUCGUGCAGUGAUAAUUUGAAAUAUAUUUUAUUGAAAUAUAUAAAUAUUUUUUCGAAUUUUUUGAAUUCUUUUUUUUUAAAUAUUAGUUCUUCGUAAGGAAAUAAAAGUUUUAUUAUUUUUAAUAUUUUUCGAUUGUUUCGAUUCGUCGAUUUUUUCUUUUUUGGAAAAAAAUUCGAAAAAUCUUUUGUUACUUUUUCAUUUUUAUUGAAAAAUGUUUGGACGAACAAUCAUAAAUUUAAAUAAAUGUAUUGAUAAUAUUUUAACAUGUCUUUCAAAAGUUUAAAAUUCAAAUUUGAUCUAUAAAAGUUAAGCUCGAUUAUAAGCGAUUUUUAAUUCGUUUAUCAAGUGUGAAAAAAUAUAUUUACUUAUAGCCGAUAGAUAAUUAAUCUCGCAUAUAUUAUUUCCUCGUUCGAUUAAAAUUCGAACAAUAUAAUAAAUAAUCGACAACGUGAAAUAAAAUAUUUUAAUUCAAGGAUGGUUAUUAAACGAUCACAAAAGGAGGGAAAUUUAAUUAAUUUUUAUUUUAUCGCAUUUACAUUUCAUAUAUCUACUUACACGUGUGCACAUAAUAGAUAACGCGAUUAUAUAACGAUGUGUAAGAUAUAUUAGAGGUGAAAACGCUAUCGUAAAAACAGAAUUUGUUAAAAGAAGAAUAAUAUUUUUAUUGCAUUUCCAUCUGUGUAUGUGUGUGUGUAUGUGUGUGUGUCUGUAUAUAUAUGUUCAUAAAAUCAUUUUUCGAAAAGCCAUAGGAAUUUAACGUUGCCAAUAAUGGAGGAUGCACAAAUUUAUAAUCCAUACGUUAAAUUACAAAGUCAAGUGGCUUUUAUAAAUUUUGUUGCUCUCCGGCAAGGAUCACGAUUCAUGUAAGCGGAAAUUUAAAUCGAUCGAUUCGACCGGGCUCCAUUAAAACACAGUUAAGUCGUUUCGUGUAUUAAUUGAUCAAAUUUUCCAGAUAGACUCCUUGAAAAAGAUGCGAUUAAUAGGGACAAUUUGUAUUCAUGAACGAACCGGACGAUGUUUGGUCUCUGUUUCCUCGAGCAUCUUAAUAACUCGCGUUGCAACAAUCUGCACGAGGAUAAUUUGUUAAUAAAUUUCAUUUAAAGAACAACUGAGACUGAAUAUAAAUGAGGCGCAGCAAUGAGAAAUAUAUUCGAUUUUUUAAAUACGGAGACGUGUGAAAUAUGCUUCGAUUCAAACUUCCUCUUAAAAUAAAUUUUAAAAUACACAUAAGAAUUAUUUUUCAUAAUCAUUCUGAUGAAAAUAUGAAAAAUUAGUCAAUACAAUUUUCAUUGUAGAUGUAUAUAUUUAUCAUAUUUGAUAUUAUAAAAAUCGAUUGUCAGAAUUUGUUCUUUUCUCGUCUUGGAAUUAAUAGCACGAGAAGUGAAGGUAUUAAAAAACAUAUUUUCUAUAAUUAAAAAUUUUCUUAAAAAAUUCGAUAUUUAUUUUUCGACGACAGAUUAUAUUGGACUGGAUUUAUAUUUCAAAUUUUGUAUCCAAUCAGUAAUUUGAUGUUUGCGCCAUUUAUUGGUGUAAUUUGAUAGGCGUGUCGUUCCAUCCUGUACUCUUGAUAACCGGAAGUACCGCCUUUCAGAAAAAUUUACACCGAAUAAUCGAUCUUCCGUAAAAGGAUGUGAAACAUUCUUCUUGUUUGAAGAGUAUAAUUUCUUCUUAAAAUGAUUAACAAGAAAUAAGAGGCAUCGUUUAGAAAAUUAUUCCAAAGCAUAAUAAAGUUGAAUUAAUCAUAAUUCCAUGAUUUUUAAAAGUAAAAAUCGAUUUUCCUUUUUCUCUUUUCUUUCUUUUUUUUUUUAAAUUUUACUUCUUUUAUAUUAAUUCGUAUUUUUACAUUCGGAUUAUCGAUGCGUUUCUAUUAAGUGGUGGAAUCUUUAUGAAAUUAAUAAUCAAAGCGGCUAGUUAUUAAUUGCUACUAUAAUUAGUGUUUAAUGGCGGAAUUAUAAUGAGACCCAUAAUUCGAUCCACGCCGGGCCUCAUUAAUUGAAAAUGUAAUUCGUAAUUUAAUAUGAAAUUAAUUGCGAAAGUAAUUACAACGUCUGAACAUGGCCGACAUAUAUACAUAUAUAAACGUAAUAAUUUGUAUCAAAUAGAAAUCGUAAUUUAAUAUAUAAUAAGAAUAUGUCUGCAUUGAAUCAACUUCCAAGGAGCAAAAAAAAAAAGAAAGAAAAAAAAAAUCUUAAGAAAAUAAUAUCUUUUCUUUCUCUUCAUGAAUAUUAAUCUAUAAUUUAAUCAUUAUUUAACGAUAAAACGGAUUAUCUUUUAUUUUUCCUUUCUUUCUUUCUUUAAGAAAGAACAUUAUAUAUUUUUACCCGUAGUCCCUUCGGAUUUGCCUCAUUGUUUAGUCAUUCGAAAAAUUGAAUGUUAUGCAUCGAAACUAGCGUGUCAUGCUCAGUGCUUAGCCAAGUAGAAGAAAAAAAAGGAUUCAUCUUUCCAUCCUAUCCUUCAUAUUUAAUCCUUAUUGAAAGGAAUAAGGGAAUAAGAAUAAAUUCUUCUUUUAGAAAAAUAGUUCAAUUCCUUGGAACUCCAUUAUUUCUUCAUUUAUAAAAAUUAUCAGGUAACUCUAUUGUGUAGUUUCUAAUAAUAAUAAACUUGUCAAUUGUAUGUUUAUAAUAAUAAUAAUAUUAUUAAUUAGAUUUAUAAUAUUUUUAACUAAGAAAAAAUUGUAGGAGAGAACAUAAUUACAAUUAUAUAGAAUUUUCUAAAAUUAUAAGAUAUUAAAUUCUUACGUUAUAUUAAUAUUAUUACAUUAAACGAAAACUUUUAAUCAAGAAAGAGAUUGAAAUCGUAAAUUUACAUUUUAAUAACGACACAACGAUGGAUUUCAAUACUCCUCGUGAAAGUUAAUAAGAAACAAUAAUGCUCCGAUAUAUUAAUGGACCGAUAUUUAAGACAUUCGCAAUUUUCGUCCUCGUUUCGUUGAUUAAUUCGACCAUAAAGAAUGAUUGCGACGCGGUUCGCUGCUACCGCAAUCGUUCCACUGAUUAAUGGAGUAAUGAAAUCUCGUCUAACCUUUUAAUGGAAUCACGAGUCGCCACCAAUAGGUAAUCAAACGUAAUAAUACGGCUGAAACCGUAGGAACGUGUGCGCAUUAUGCAUAACUGGACAAGGUUAUGCUUACAAGAGUUACAAAACGUUUCAUUAAAUUUGUUGCACACAUCCGUGAGAGACGAUCUCAUCAAGUGAUCGAUUUCCUUAAUAGGAUUCCAUUUUUUACGCACAUGUGUAACUAUGAUAAUGAUGAAGGAUUGAAAUAAACAUCUUCUUAGCUUACGCAGAGAAGGUAAAUUAUUGGAAAUAAGUUCUGAAUUUUUUUUUUUUUUUUUUAAUUGGAAUUAGUUUGAUAUUAAUGAAUUUGAGAUGGAAAAAUUAAUGGUUUUAUUACUAUAUGUAUAUUUAUAAUGAAUCAUAAGGAAUAAGAUUUCAUUCAAUAGAAAUAGAAACGUUGAGGAAGAGGAUGAAGAUUGUGAUAUUAUAAAAUUAUGUAACAUUAGUAUUAAUAUUAUGCAACAUGAAAUAUAUUUAGAAUAGAAUGUAGAUAUAAUAUUAUAAUUAUCAAUAGUGUAAUAUUAUAUAUACAAUAUUUUCAGUAAUAGAUCUAUUUUCGUAAUCCUUCUUUAUAUUCUAUUAUAAAUCUAGAAGAGGUUAAAAAAAAAAAUCACAAAUUAAUACAUGCUCGAUUAGAAAUUAUAUUUCAUAAAACUUUUACAGCUAAUAAAAUUUAUUUACCAUAAAUUUAACUGUAAACCGGUGAUCUUGUACAGAUAACAGAUCAAUUUAUAACGAUGGCGAUAAUUACCGAAUGCUUCACUAUCAGUGAAUCGACUCAUGACUAAUGAGAAGUCGAUGAACCAUCAAACUUGUAACGAAUGCAACUGUAAACAUAAAUUACCUUACAAAGAUACGAAUGAACUAUAAUUCAUCGAUAUUUUUUCCUAUUUUUCCAUGAGAUGCAAGCUAGGCGAAGCAGUUUCACUCAAGUCGGUAAUCAUUGUGCAAUUAGGUUCUCGUCAGUUAUGUUUCACACAAAUCAUGGUUAAGAUAGCGACAAAAGCAUCUUCUCUUUAAUAAACGUGAAAUUUCCUAUAAAUUGUUGCGAAUAAUUUAACAACGAUGGAUCACUAACGUCUUAAUAACGUCGAAAGAACGUCUUAAUAAUGUGUGAUAAAUAUUUCUCUUACGAGUAACAGUUAAAAUUAUUCAAGGCAAGUUAAUUUUCGCAAUUUUUCUGGUGUUUAAAAUCAGAUAGUAUACUUAUAGUAAUGUUCCCAUCAGUUAUAGCGGCUAAGGAUAAUUUAGAAAACUAUGAAAAUAUUUCUAAAUCAUAAAAUUUUAUUCAAAUCAUUCCUAUUCUUUUCGUAUAAAAUUUCAUAGUUUUCCAAAGACUCCAAGGAUUCCAAAAAAAUUCCAAUAUUCGAUUCAUCAUUUUUAUCUUUUAUUACAAGGUAAUUUUUUUUUUUUUUUUUUUUUGAUAUAAAAUCCAAUUUUUAAAACUUCAACAAUAUUCAAUACACUAUUUCAUCUUAAAAUACACUUCACACAACCUCCACAACUUUCCUUCGAUUUUCCAAUGAUUUUCACCUUAGAAAUGAAAUCUAAUUAAUCUCAUAAAAUCGCAAUAUUAUUCUUGCUCGUUCGACGAAACGGACAAUAUAAUUGGGAUCACCAAUCCCCAAACAAACGUCAUCCCCAAAGAUUAAAAUUCACGCCAUUCCUCUGCUAAGAUAUUAUCCGACCGAUCUAUCUUAAUAUUUAACCCUUCAAAGGGUUAAACAGUUGUCCAACCUACUUUCCAUCACUUUCGACGCUUUCACGUGCGAUCGAUUCACGUGGCCAACAGCACGGUCAACCUAACAAGCGUUGGACCCCCUAAGACAAAUGAUAAGGGCGAGUUCGAUCGAAUUUAUCAAAGAAAUAAUAAAGAGGAGUAUCCUCGCUGACCAUUCCGGACAGUGCACACGGAAAAGGUGUGAACUGUUUAAGCCGAGGUGUCGGCUCGUCAGCAGUCAGCAAGGUGUUGGGCCACGAUCAUUUAUUAUCCCGAGAUUGAAUUUCUCCUCGGCUCGGCCAGCGCCUCGGUUUAAUUAAAAUAUCGUUAUGGGUAGGCGUGGAUAUUCGUGCCGCCGUGGAACGUUUCUGACCCAUCUCUCUCUCUCUUUUCUCUCUUUCUCUCUCUCUCUCUCUCUCUCUUUCGUCUCUCUCGCCUCUCUUUUCGAGGCUCGUUCGCGGUUUAAACGAGCAACAAGAUUGGGGAACGGAGAACAGGAGACGAUGGAAAAGCACGGAAGGCUUCCGUUGGAUAUCGCCUCGACACGGAAAUCGGGACACGGGACGGGUGGAAUAUCGAUCUUGGCUCGUGGGAUUAGGAGAGCAGGAGUGAAGACAGGUGUUCGGUGUUUCCUGAGGUGUUUUAAAAUAAUUGAUAGUGGUCGAUUUCGUGGAACACCGCGUACGAAUGGUGUCGUGAUCGUUCCCAGAAGGAUUCGUAAUUAAACGAAGAGAUCGCAUUCCGAUACAGGGGGCCGUUUCUCUUGGUGCACAUACAAUCAGCAUAAGCAAUCGUCUGCGUGCGAAUUCGGACUGAGAAUAUCGGUGCGUCUGUCCGGAGAAAAAAUAUUGUUAUAAGGCGAGAGCAUCCACUCUCGUAAAUAUCAUACCGUUAAAACGCAUCUGAGCCGAAGGAGCUAUUUCCAUCCCUUAAAUUUAAGAUUAGCCGCGUGCAUCACGUUGAAGAAAUAUUUUGAACGAAGUGAUAUCGGAUAGAUAAUAUUCCAGAAUUUGAAUUUGAGGUUAAUUAGGAUUGGAAAUUGGAAAAUAUUCAGAACGAUCGAAUAUAUACGAAAUUUAAGAAAUAUCAGACGACAGAAAUAUCAGAUGAUUUCUGAGUUAUUCAAUUCUUCGAUAAUUUGAAAAAAAUUGCUCAAAAUUGCUUUGUGUAAAAAAGGAGGGCGUAACAAAGAAACUCAUUUCACAGUCCAUCGUAUUUAUUGCCUUCCAUCAUAUUUAGACAGAACAGAAAACUUACACGCAUCCUCGUCAAUACUUCGUAACAAAAUAAUUACCAAUAAAAGAAGCUAUAUUUUCCAA
This is a long non-coding RNA of Apis cerana (Asiatic honeybee), 16705 nucleotides long. RefSeq lists it as uncharacterized. The record is from RefSeq and is a predicted model, not a curated record. NCBI's taxonomy places the organism in Eukaryota, Metazoa, Arthropoda, Insecta, Hymenoptera, Apidae.